Molecule: ribosomal RNA, 1486 nt
Filed under: metagenome
Description: bacterial SSU rRNA
Rfam family: Bacterial small subunit ribosomal RNA
Source: RNAcentral
AGAGUUUGAUCCUGGCUCAGGAUGAACGCUAGCUACAGGCUUAACACAUGCAAGUCGAGGGGCAGCAUGGUCUUAGCUUGCUAAGGCCGAUGGCGACCGGCGCACGGGUGAGUAACACGUAUCCAACCUGCCGUCUACUCUUGGACAGCCUUCUGAAAGGAAGAUUAAUACAAGAUGGCAUCAUGAGUCCACAUGUUCACAUGAUUAAGGGUAUUCCGGUAGACGAUGGGGAUGCGUUCCAUUAGAUAGUAGGCGGGGUAACGGCCCACCUAGUCUUCGAUGGAUAGGGGUUCUGAGAGGAAGGUCCCCCACAUUGGAACUGAGACACGGUCCAAACUCCUACGGGAGGCAGCAGUGAGGAAUAUUGGUCAAUGGGCGAGAGCCUGAACCAGCCAAGUAGCGUGAAGGAUGACUGCCCUAUGGGUUGUAAACUUCUUUUAUAAAGGAAUAAAGUCGGGUAUGCAUACCCGUUUGCAUGUACUUUAUGAAUAAGGAUCGUCUAACUCCGUGCCAGCAGCCGCGGUAAUACGGAGGAUCCGAGCGUUAUCCGGAUUUAUUGGGUUUAAAGGGAGCGUAGAUGGAUGUUUAAGUCAGUUGUGAAAGUUUGCGGCUCAACCGUAAAAUUGCAGUUGAUACUGGAUAUCUUGAGUGCAGUUGAGGCAGGCGGAAUUCGUGGUGUAGCGGUGAAAUGCUUAGAUAUCACGAAGAACUCCGAUUGCGAAGGCAGCCUGCUAAGCUGCAACUGACAUUGAGGCUCGAAAGUGUGGGUAUCAAACAGGAUUAGAUACCCUGGUAGUCCACACGGUAAACGAUGAAUACUCGCUGUUUGCGAUAUACUGCAAGCGGCCAAGCGAAAGCGUUAAGUAUUCCACCUGGGGAGUACGCCGGCAACGGUGAAACUCAAAGGAAUUGACGGGGGCCCGCACAAGCGGAGGAACAUGUGGUUUAGUUCGAUGAUACGCGAGGAACCUUACCCGGGCUUAAAUUGCAGAUGAAUUACGGUGAAAGCCGUAAGCCGCAAGGCAUCUGUGAAGGUGCUGCAUGGUUGUCGUCAGCUCGUGCCGUGAGGUGCCGGCUUAAGUGCCAUAACGAGCGCAACCCUUGUUGUCAGUUACUAACAGGUUCUGCUGAGGACUCUGACAAGACUGCCAUCGUAAGAUGUGAGGAAGGUGGGGAUGACGUCAAAUCAGCACGGCCCUUACGUCCGGGGCUACACACGUGUUACAAUGGGGGGUACAGAGGGCCGCUACCACGCGAGUGGAUGCCAAUCCCAAAAACCUCUCUCAGUUCGGACUGGAGUCUGCAACCCGACUCCACGAAGCUGGAUUCGCUAGUAAUCGCGCACCAGCCACGGCGCGGUGAAUACGUUCCCGGGCCUUGUACGCACCGCCCGUCAAGCCAUGGGAGCCGGGGGUACCUGAAGUGCGUAACCGCGAGGAGCGCCCUAGGGUAAAACUGGUGACUGGGGCUAAGUCGUAACAAGGUA